This 1527-nucleotide ribosomal RNA is filed under the name Triticum aestivum (bread wheat). Its description in RNAcentral is "partial small subunit ribosomal RNA". Lineage: Eukaryota; Viridiplantae; Streptophyta; Magnoliopsida; Poales; Poaceae. The record is from RNAcentral.
AUGCCAAUGGAAAUCAUGGAGCUGGAUACGCAAGGAAAUGCCGGCAAUGGCAUCUCGCCCAGCUGGAUGGAGAAGGUGAAGCUGAAAAUCCUCCGGGAAGCUGAGGGCGUUAGCCUGAGCAUCCCUCCAUACUUCUCAAGGUUCGAUGCCAUCGGUAACACAGAUUACCCAUCCAUUUUCAAGCCUCGCCCUAAGCCAACCCAGCAACCCCAGAAUCACACCGGGACCUCAGCCAGCAGAGAGCCUGCUCAGUCGAUGGGCCGCAGCAUCAUGGUCGCCGCCGUCGGGCCGUACCACGGUCCAUCGGACUUGGCAUGUGUACAGCCCCAGCCGCCUCUCAUCGCCCAUGCCAAGAAGUGUGCCAUCGUCAAGUUCCUUGCCGGUGAAGAUUUCAACCUCGACACGGCCGGCUUCCUUGGUUGGGCUCGGCAGCAGGAAGCCCGAGUUCGCAGCUGCUACGAGCGCGACUCGUUUACCAUGGGGUCCGAGGAGCUCGCGGAGAUGCUUCUGCUCGACGGUUGCCUGCUUCUCUUCGCCGUCUUCCUUCUCAGGUCGAGCGUGCGCGAGGACCAGCGUCCGGCGCAGCUGACCCGUGAUGCCAAGCACAGGAAGGUGUUCGUGUACUUGUCAGCGGACAUGUGCCUGCACAUGAAACAGACCAGGCUGGACCUACUGAUGCUGGGAAACCAGAUCCCCUUCUUUGUGCUCACCGAGCUUCACAGGCUAUUGAGAAAUACCUUCUUCCAUGGAAUCCAGUACAGCAUAGAAGAACUGGCUCUCUCCUGUUUCGACGACAUCCACCCAACCCGCAGUGGAUUCAUCAAACAAGACGAAGCAGCAGGAACCACGGUAGUUCAUCACCUCCUGCACCUUUUCCACUGCUCCCGAGUGCCCAAAGGUAACCACGGGCUCGACGAUACUUCGUUCCUGCGCCGGGAGCCAGACUCGCACCUCCCCUGCGCGACCUGGCUCGAGGAGUCCCACACCAGUUUCAGCAAGCAGGCCGCUCCAGGUAGCAGCAGCUCGUUGCACAUCGUCUUCCAGAGAAAGAUGUUUCGGGUGGGAGGAGUGAUGCACGUCCCUGCCCAGCACAUCCACGGCUACAGCGAGUCUGUCUUCCGCAACCUCAUCGCGUUCGAGCAGAGCCAUCAGAGGUGCGGCCUCGGCGUCACCGCCUACUCCAUGUGCAUGGCUCGGCUGCUGCAGACCGAGGACGACGCCAAACUGCUGAGGAAGAGCGGCAUCCUAGCGCACACUCACAAGACCGACAAGGAGAUCGUCGACUUGUUCAGUGAGCUCUCAGAUGAGUACAGGAACACGUUUUAUUCCAGAGAUCUUCUUGAUCUCUGCAAGGACGUGGCAGCAUAUCAUCACAGCACAGCCGCUAAGGCCGUCAAAUGGGUCGGGCAGCAGUGCUUCCCAAGGCAAUCUGUCACCUUCUUCGUCAUCUUUGGCGCUUUGAUCUCCGUUGCCACACUCGUCAACACCGGGUACUCCGUCUAUAGGUUCUAUCAUCCGGUCAAGUGA